GAGGUCCCGCCUGCCCUGUGACUAUAUGUUUAACGGCCGCGGUAUUUUGACCGUGCGAAGGUAGCGCAAUCACUUGUCUUUUAAAUGGAGACCUGUAUGAAUGGCAUAACGAGGGCUUAGCUGUCUCCUUUUUCAAGUCAAUGAAAUUGAUCUCCCCGUGCAGAAGCGGGGAUAACACCAUAAGACGAGAAGACCCUAUGGAGCUUUAGACACCAAGGCAGAUCAUGUUAAACACCCCUUCACAAAGGACUAAACCAGAUGAACCCUGCCCUAAUGUCUUUGGUUGGGGCGACCGCGGGGAAACAAAAAACCCCCAUGUGGAAUGGGAACACUCCUUCCUACAACUAAGAGCUCCCGCUCUAAUGACCAGAACUUCUGACCAAUCAGAUCCGGCAACGCCGAUCAACGAACCGAGUUACCCUAGGGAUAACAGCGCAAUCCCCUUUUAGAGCCCAUAUCGACAAGGGGGUUUACGACCUCGAUGUUGGAUCAGGACAUCCUAAUGGUGCAGCCGCUAUUAAGGG
RNAcentral lists this ribosomal RNA (524 nucleotides) under Kyphosus vaigiensis (brassy chub). RNAcentral's name for it is "partial 16S ribosomal RNA". It matches the Rfam family "Bacterial large subunit ribosomal RNA", at positions 1849 to 2571 of the family's 2925-position model. Lineage: Eukaryota; Metazoa; Chordata; Actinopteri; Centrarchiformes; Kyphosidae. The record is from RNAcentral.